This 800-nucleotide ribosomal RNA is filed under the name uncultured bacterium. RNAcentral describes it as "bacterial SSU rRNA". It matches the Rfam family "Bacterial small subunit ribosomal RNA", at positions 8 to 803 of the family's 1533-position model. The record is from RNAcentral.
AGAGUUUGAUCAUGGCUCAGAUUGAACGCUGGCGGAAUGCUUUACACAUGCAAGUCGAACGGCAGCACGGACUUCGGUCUGGUGGCGAGUGGCGAACGGGUGAGUAAUACAUCGGAACGUGCCCAGUCGUGGGGGAUAACGUAGCGAAAGCUACGCUAAUACCGCAUACGAUCUAAGGAUGAAAGCGGGGGAUCGCAAGACCUCGCGCGAUUGGAGCGGCCGAUGGCAGAUUAGGUAGUUGGUGGGGUAAAGGCUCACCAAGCCGACGAUCUGUAGCUGGUCUGAGAGGACGACCAGCCACACUGGAACUGAGACACGGUCCAGACUCCUACGGGAGGCAGCAGUGGGGAAUUUUGGACAAUGGGCGCAAGCCUGAUCCAGCCAUUCCGCGUGCAGGAUGAAGGCCCUCGGGUUGUAAACUGCUUUUGUACGGAACGAAAAGGCUCUGGUUAAUACCUGGGGCUCAUGACGGUACCGUAAGAAUAAGCACCGGCUAACUACGUGCCAGCAGCCGCGGUAAUACGUAGGGUGCAAGCGUUAAUCGGAAUUACUGGGCGUAAAGCGUGCGCAGGCGGUGAUGUAAGACAGAGGUGAAAUCCCCGGGCUCAACCUGGGAACUGCCUUUGUGACUGCAUCGCUGGAGUACGGCAGAGGGGGAUGGAAUUCCGCGUGUAGCAGUGAAAUGCGUAGAUAUGCGGAGGAACACCGAUGGCGAAGGCAAUCCCCUGGGCCUGUACUGACGCUCAUGCACGAAAGCGUGGGGAGCAAACAGGAUUAGAUACCCUGGUAGUCCACGCCCU